UUGUGGAGGCAGGGGAUAUUUACUCUGGUUUUGGCGGGGAGGAGGGCUGGAUUUGGCGGGAGCAACGAGACGAGGGCGCCGUGGGGCUAGCUGGCGACUGGCGAUUUUCCACGCCACGCCGAUCUUCUCGCUCGCAUCGGCUAGUUGUUUAUCCUUCCCCGAUUCUCCCUGCCACGGAUUGAAGCAUGCCUUGAGUUCACACCUUCAACCAAUUUUCAAUGGCACAAUCCACUACUGACGUUUCCUUCUGAGUUCUUGAUUCUCAGAUUUUUUUUCUUUCGCAACUAGAUGGGCUCACAAUCUUGAAAAAAAUUUGCCGGUAGACUGAGAGCUCUCCCCUUCCCUGAGAGCCGGCUGCCACUCCGGCGCCGGCGGCCACCGUCCCCGUCGGUCGCCACUCCGGGGCCGACGUCCACCUCCUUCCUCGGGUGCCCUUCUUCCCCAGGCGCCCCCCUUCCCCCUCUGCCGCCGUGAUGGUCUCGCGGGUCUCCCUCUCUGGGUUGUCGGCGCCCUCCAGUCCCACUCCCUCGUCGCGCCCCCUACUUCGCUCGAUGGUCGUCGUCCCAGAUGUCCUCUGUACGGCGUUUGGGCCAAUCUCGCAGGGGGCGGCCAGGGGCUCUCGUCCGCCGCCGCCGGCCGCAGCUCCUGGCUGGCAAUCCAGGCGCGGUCGUCGCCCAAGGAGCCCCGUCUCUCCACCGCCGCCGGCCCAGCGGCGCCGCCAGGCUUGACUCUCCCCUCCUCCAGGCCGCCGCGGAUGAACAUCCCGGCUUGUCUCCAUGGAUGUUGUUACAGUUGCGGGGAUGAGAAGCACAUCUUCAGGUAUUGCUGGAAGAAGAUGGUGUGCGUGUGCUGUGGUGGCGAGGGCCACAUCGCCAGGAACUGCACGGAGCCGAGGGGCUCCUCGUCCGGUGGUGGGCGGGGGCGCGUUGCGGGUCUGCCAGCUCCGGUGGUUCCCCCUAAUUCUGGCCUCCCCCACGGCACCCUCCUCAGGCAAGAUGCUUCUUUGCGGAUGUCGGUGGAUGCUCAGAGGAGCGCGGGCAUGGCACUCCCCCCCACCUCCGCCAGGCCCCCCUCCCCCUGGUGCGGUUCGGUUGGCUCGGAGCUAGAGUCAGGUCGCGCGGAGCUCGUCGGCGGCGAGCGUGGUUGGGCCGGAUUUCUCUGUUCCUUUCGCCGGCUUGGUGGAGGCGGCCGCGGCGCCGGCUGUGCUGGGGGCUGAGGACCUGCUGGACUGCUGCUUCCUCGACGCUUCGGAGGACGCUCCGUGUGAACAGUAUACAGAGAACCAUUCGCAAGUAUUCAUGACAGAUUUUUCUUUUUUGCAUCUUGAUGUAUGUUUCGAAUUUUGAUCUGAAUUUUUUAGCGAUUAUCUUAAUAUGUGCUGUGAACAUGCAUGAUUUUUUUA
Molecule: long non-coding RNA, 1402 nt
Organism: Aegilops tauschii subsp. strangulata
Lineage: Eukaryota; Viridiplantae; Streptophyta; Magnoliopsida; Poales; Poaceae
Source: RefSeq, a predicted model, not a curated record